UAAUGGCCUGCCAGCAGGGGCUGUGUAGC
Molecule: non-coding RNA, 29 nt
Filed under: Rattus norvegicus (Norway rat)
Lineage: Eukaryota; Metazoa; Chordata; Mammalia; Rodentia; Muridae
Source: RNAcentral